UCGCAGCCCAUUCAUUCUCUGCCAACUUCGUAGCUUCUCUACUUCAUGUUCGCUUCGUCGCGAUGCAUCAUUGCUGUCAUGCUUGCGUAACAAGUUUCUUCCCACUUCGUUUCUUGUGCUACGAGUAGUGUCCAGUGCAGCGGGGCUGUUCCAUUUGUUUGCUGCGUCGGAUGGUGGACUCGCUUUAUCUAACGAGCGCGUAGUUUUUGUUCUGAAAGUCCAUUUCGAAUAUUUUCAUUUUGCGAUGCGUUGGUAGUCUGUGAAUUUAUUUUCUUAUGAGUAUCUUGACGAAUAAAGAUUGAGAUAAUUUUCUAGCCGUGCUUUUUAUGUCCAUGUUUCUGAAUGUUUUCAGACGAAUGGAGAGAUUUCUUGAAGAAACUCAGGUUUCUGAGAUUUUUUUAUGUGACAUUGAAGUGCCGGAGAUUGUUUUGUCGUGCAACCAUGGAAGAGGAUGUUGCAUUUGAGUUUCUUUGGUGAAGUACCGUUCGUGUUCAUUUAGCUUUCAUGAUCGGAAUCAGUCAAUUGGCCGCGGGCUCGCUUUGGAGCUUACAGAUAUUAGGAUCAUAAUAUAGUAGAUGAAGAUUUGUUUCGGCACUGGAGCUGUCGUGAUCUUUCCAGAGAUUGCAUUAGCGAGGUCUACUUACCAGGCCGUACUCAGAAUCCUCACAUGCUAUGUAUCUGACUGUACCCGCUAAUGUAGAAUAAGAUCUGAUGGACACUGCAGUCGCUUACGGAACCACAUUGAGAACCAGGAGGAUUGCCAACUUAUUCCAGGAUUGGUGCAAUUUAGCUUCUAUUCCAUCAUGGUUGAGUAACGAGUGGUAAAAGUGGCUCUAAUUUCAUGCAUGUCGCGCUUCCAGUCGCCCGCAGCUGCACCGCAGUGACAGGUUCUCAAGUUAGUGACCAACAGGUCUGGAGGAGGGGCAGCUGGUCAGACUUGUUUUGAUAUUCUCCUGUAUGUCUCCAUCCAAACGUAGCUAUGUAAUUCUAUAUUAAUCAAUUUUACCUCUCAAAGCUCCUAAAACCCAUGGUAAAUGCUGGGAAGCCUACAUUGGCACAAGCCUGGAAAGUCUGAUAGCGUCAUAUGAUCCAUGCCUGAGCUUCCGUUUCAGUGAACCAUGUUGGCUCUUGAGCAGUGUGCUAACACAAACAAUCGGUUACCUAGAAUUUUACGACUUACCUAGCAUGAAGUAACUUCGCUGGAUGGAGCCUUGGGAGAUCAUAUUUCCGUAUGGUGAUUCCCAUCAAGCCGUGCUCUUCUGUUCUGAUGGCUCUAGGUGUUGACUGGUUGAACUCUUACAUACUUUUUACACUUUUGAGGGAUAAUCUAGGGGUCUAAUGAUUCUGGAGUUCAUACUUUCUCCAUCUCUUGGCAGCGACAAUUGAAGAGAUGUUGAUAUAUAUAUAUAUAUAUAUAUAUAUAUGAUCAAGUCGUUUGGCAUCGCUGAUCACGAGUCCGCUAGCAUGAGGAUACUAUUUCAUUGUGGUGAAAGCCGUCAACAUAGACGUGAAGACAUUAAAUUCAGUUACUCUGUCGCAAGUACUGGUGUAAGACCAAGAGAAACAGACCAUCAGAAACUGUUGCUGGGUCGCUUGUGCGGCGAAAAUGAACGUCUUACAGAAAAUUCUCAGCUCCACUCUCAAGUGCAUAAGAAAUACAGUCCUUACGAUGCAAAUAGAAUGUUCCACGUUUUCAAAGUACUUACCCUCGUGAGCUGUUUUUAGAGAAAGAAAAGGAAAAUCAAGUGAAUUCGCGUGUCUGUGACGAUCUUCAAAUUACGUAAAUCUAAUUUAGUUGCUUGCCUCAAACCAAGGAGAUCAAUAUAAACUUAACCUUACAAAGCCUCACGAGCUGUUUCGCCUCAGUGAAGGCCUUGAGAGUCUAUUGAGGAAAAGUUAUCAAAGGAGUGGUUAGAGCAUGCGUCAGCUGAAGAUCCAGAGAUAAAGAAUCAAGCGCCACUAUCAACUCUUAGUCCUCAAAAUCCGGCUCCUCAAAUCGGUAUGUUCUGAAUAUAUUAUCCAACUGCAACACAUCAAGAUGGAGUGUUAAUGAGAAAUGGAAUACCUGAUGGAUAGGUGCAUCAUCAAUUUCUUUUAGGAGAUGUACUACUUAUUUUGUGAAUGCAGUUGUAACCAAUGCUGUGGUGGGCAAUCAGAGGGCAGGAUAGAUGAACAUUUAUCAUAGGGUGUGGUACUUCGGUGACAGAACUCAUCAGUAGCCUUAGGAACGUUGGUUUAUAAUUUUUGCAACUCCACAAGGUAAUUUAACACUACUACAUCAUGUGCACACUACAUUGUGAAGUUUGGAAUAUACUUGCACACUAUCCAACAGAAGGAGUACCGCACAAAACUCUAUUGAGACACUUAUUGAAACACUCAACUAUUUAAUUGAUUUAUUACCGAAUAUAUUUUUCUAGUGGA
Long non-coding RNA from Physcomitrium patens, 2421 nucleotides. RefSeq lists it as uncharacterized. Lineage: Eukaryota; Viridiplantae; Streptophyta; Bryopsida; Funariales; Funariaceae. The record is from RefSeq and is a predicted model, not a curated record.